This 406-nucleotide ribosomal RNA is filed under the name uncultured Glomeromycotina. Its description in RNAcentral is "SSU rRNA". It matches the Rfam family "Eukaryotic small subunit ribosomal RNA", at positions 569 to 982 of the family's 1831-position model. Lineage: Eukaryota; Fungi; Glomeromycota. The record is from RNAcentral.
AGCAGCCGCGGUAAUUCCAGCCCCAAUAGCGUAUAUUAAAGUUGUUGCAGUUAAAAAGCUCGUAGUUGAAUUUCGGGAUCAAUAUGUCGGUCGUGCCUCGGCACGCACUGGCUUAUUGGUUUCUCCCUUCUGACGAACCAUGAUGUCAUUAAUUUGGUGUCUUGGGAAAUCAGGACUGUUAACUUUGAAAAAUUAGAGUGUUUAAAGCAGGCUCACGCUUGAAUACAUUAGCAUGGAAUAAUGAAAUAGGACGUUUGAUUCUAUUUUGUUGGUUUCUAGGAUCGACGUAAUGAUUAAUAGGGAUAGUUGGGGGCAUUAGUAUUCAAUUGUCAGAGGUGAAAUUCUUGGAUUUAUGAAGACUAACUACUGCGAAAGCAUUUGCCAAGGAUGUUUUCAUUAAUCAAGA